AGUGGCGGACGGGUGAGUAACGCGUGAGAAUCUGCCCAUAGGACAGGGACAACAGUUGGAAACGACUGCUAAUACCUGAUGUGCCGAGAGGUGAAACUUUUAUGGCCCGUGGAUGAGCUCGCGUCUGAUUAGCUAGUUGGUGGGGUAAGAGCCUACCAAGGCGACGAUCAGUAGCUGGUCUGAGAGGAUGAUCAGCCACACUGGAACUGAGACACGGUCCAGACUCCUACGGGAGGCAGCAGUGGGGAAUUUUCCGCAAUGGGCGAAAGCCUGACGGAGCAAGACCGCGUGGGGGAUGAAGGUUUGUGGAUUGUAAACCCCUUUUGAUUGGGAAGAAUAACUGACGGUACCAAUCGAAUAAGCCUCGGCUAACUCCGUGCCAGCAGCCGCGGUAAUACGGAGGAGGCAAGCGUUAUCCGGAAUUAUUGGGCGUAAAGCGUCCGUAGGUGGUUUAGUAAGUCUGCUGUUAAAGCGCGGGGCUUAACUCCGUAAGGGCAGUGGAAACUACUAGACUAGAGUGUGGUAGGGGUAGAGGGAAUUCCCAGUGUAGCGGUGAAAUGCGUAGAUAUUGGGAAGAACACCGGUGGCGAAAGCGCUCUACUGGGCCAUAACUGACACUGAUGGACGAAAGCUAGGGGAGCGAAAGGGAUUAGAUACCCCUGUAGUCCUACCCGUAAACGAUGGAGACUAGGUGUUG
RNAcentral lists this ribosomal RNA (697 nucleotides) under uncultured Chroococcales cyanobacterium. RNAcentral's name for it is "bacterial SSU rRNA". It matches the Rfam family "Bacterial small subunit ribosomal RNA", at positions 94 to 825 of the family's 1533-position model. The record is from RNAcentral. Lineage: Bacteria; Bacillati; Cyanobacteriota; Cyanophyceae; Chroococcales.